AUGCUGAGUGAAUAUUCCAUGAGGUCGAAGAUGAACUGCACAUGCUGCACCAGAGGAGCUUGGCUACCACCAUAGCACGAUGCCGACCAGAACGCUUGCAGCUGACAGCCCAUUCACAUAGCAAUGACACCACAGCAUCAUCAUCUGAGGAGAUCUGGAGAACAAAGGAAGAGAAGGAGGAGUAAGGUCCCAAUCCAAAGAUUCGGUU
This 208-nucleotide long non-coding RNA is filed under the name Homo sapiens (human). Its description in RNAcentral is "HSALNT0283448". Lineage: Eukaryota; Metazoa; Chordata; Mammalia; Primates; Hominidae. The record is from RNAcentral.